UGGGGAAUAUUGGACAAUGGGCGAAAGCCUGAUCCAGCCAUGCCGCGUGUGUGAAGAAGGUCUUCGGAUUGUAAAGCACUUUAAGUUGGGAGGAAGGGCAGUAAGCGAAUACCUUGCUGUUUUGACGUUACCGACAGAAUAAGCACCGGCUAACUCUGUGCCAGCAGCUGCGGUAAUACAGAGGGUGCAAGCGUUAAUCGGAAUUACUGGGCGUAAAGCGCGCGUAGGUGGUUCGUUAAGUUGAAUGUGAAAGCCCCGGGCUCAACCUGGGAACUGCAUCCAACACUGGCGAGCUUGAGUAGGGCAGAGGGUGGUGGAAUUUCCUGUGUAGCGGUGAAAUGCAUAGGUAUAGGAAGGAACACCAGUGGCGAAGGCCACCACCUGAGCUCAUACUGACACUGAGGUGCGAAAGCGUGGGGAGCAAACAGG
RNAcentral lists this ribosomal RNA (429 nucleotides) under Pseudomonadota bacterium. RNAcentral's name for it is "Proteobacteria bacterium partial 16S ribosomal RNA". It matches the Rfam family "Bacterial small subunit ribosomal RNA", at positions 355 to 776 of the family's 1533-position model. Lineage: Bacteria; Pseudomonadati; Pseudomonadota. The record is from RNAcentral.